RNAcentral lists this ribosomal RNA (531 nucleotides) under uncultured rumen bacterium. RNAcentral describes it as "bacterial SSU rRNA". It matches the Rfam family "Bacterial small subunit ribosomal RNA", at positions 37 to 585 of the family's 1533-position model. The record is from RNAcentral.
UGGCGGCGUGCUUACACAUGCAAGUCGAACGGAGCAUCGGUUUUCGGACGGAUGCUUAGUGGCGGACGGGUGAGUAACGCGUGGGUAACCUGCCUUACACAGGGGGACAACAGUUGGAAACGACUGCUAAUACCGCAUAAGCCCACAGGACCGCAUGGUCCAGUGAGAAAAGAUUUUAUCGGUGUAAGAUGGACCCGCGUCUGAUUAGCUGGUUGGUGGGGUAACGGCCUACCAAGGCGACGAUCAGUAGCCGACCUGAGAGGGUGAUCGGCCACAUUGGGACUGAGACACGGCCCAAACUCCUACGGGAGGCAGCAGUGGGGAAUAUUGCGCAAUGGGGGGAACCCUGACGCAGCAACGCCGCGUGAGUGAAGAAGUAUUUCGGUAUGUAAAGCUCUAUCAGCAGGGACGAAGAUGACGGUACCUGCAGAAGAAGUCCCGGCUAACUACGUGCCAGCAGCCGCGGUAAUACGUAGGGGACAAGCGUUAUCCGGAUUUACUGGGUGUAAAGGGAGCGUANGCGGCCAGACA